CAGCUAAUAUAUCUUAUAUAAACUAUUAUUAGGUCUUUCAACCUUUCAGUUGAAAGACCUAUAGGGUUUGUUCUGAUUAUUAGGUCUUUCAACCUUUCUGUUGAAAGACCUAUUGUAUUCGUUCUGAUUAUUAGGUCUUUCAACCUUUCAGGUGAAAGACCUAAAGGGUUUGUUCUGAUUAUUAUUAUUAUUAUUAUUAUUAUUAUUAUUAUUUUUUUUUUUUUUUUCUUCCGCCAACUUUUUUUUCCUUCGCUGUUUUUUUUUUUUCACAAGAUGUCGCUUAGAUAUUUGGUAUAUGAUAUCGAACAGUUAAUGCGCUUCUGAAACUGACACCGCGUAACAAAAACCUUUACCUUGUAAGAGUUAUCUCCCCAAACACUGUUUUUCUUGUGGCCACUACUACUUCGCAACCGUAUAAGAAACCGACAAAUUUAUUUUUCCAAAUUGCUCGUUAUAUCCUUAGGAUGUUCUGUUUCAUUUCAACGGAAGCUAUCCGGAGACUCCAUAUGAGAGUUAUCCCCCUUUUAUAUAUGAUAUCAGUGAUAUGCAUUUCUAACUGGUAAACUAUAAGUGAUAGAGACCUAGGGUCUUUUGAUUUAAGAUCCUUGGUCCAAAAAAAUGAAAAUUAGGUCAAGGUCAAAGGUCAAGGUCAAAUUCUUAAUUUUGAUUUUGGCUUAUUUUCACCUUUUUUCAUUAACCUUAUAAGAUAUCGACAAUUUUUUUACUAAAUUGUUAGUUGCGACAUGUCGUAACUUAUAAAAUUUUGGUUGCGAGGGUGCGUAAACAAUAAAAGGGAGUUUUCGCCCCUCUUAUAUUAAGAAUUAUGCGUAAAGUGAUUUUACUCAUGAACCAUACAUAUUAAGGAACUAGUGUCUUUUUAUUUGAGAUGUUUAGUCUAUGACCUUGAAAUUGAGGUCAAGGUCAUAGGUUAAUUGGACGUUCUAGAUUUUGACCUUUGCUUAAAAUUCAUAUUUAUACAUCAUUAAGCCAUAGGAACUGACAUUUUCAACUGAAUUUUAAUAUUUUCAUAUCUAAAUAGAUCCUUAUUGGUUGAAAGACCUUCAAUUGUUCUUUGAACAAUUGGUUUUUAAUUAUUAUUAUUAUAUUUAUUAUUUUUAUUUUUUUUCUUCCGCCAACUUUUUUUUCCUUCGCUGUUUUUUUGUUUCACAAGAUGUCGCUUAGAUAUUUGGUAUAUUAUAUCGAACAGUUAAUGCGCUUCUGAAACUGACACCGCGUAACAAAAACCUUUACCUUGUAAGAGUUAUCUCCCCGAACACUGUUUUUCUUGUGGCCACUAAGGCUUCGCAACCGUAUAAGAAACCGACAAAUUUAUUUUUCCAAAUUGCUCGUUAUAUCCUCAGGAUGUUCUGUUUCAUUUUGACCGAAGCUAUCCGGAGACUCCAUAUGAGAGUUAUCCCCCCUUUUAUAUAUGAUAUAAGUGAUAUGCAUUUCUAACUGGUAAACCAUAAGUGAUAGAGACCUAGGGUCUUUUGAUUUUAGAUCCUUGGUCCAAAAAAAUGAAAAUUAGGUCAAGGUCAAAGGUCAAGGUCAAAUUUUAAAUUUUGAUUUUUGCUUAUUUUCACUUAUUUUCAAUUACUUAAUAAGAUUUCGACAAAUUAUUUUUACUAAAUUGUUAGUUGCGACAUGUCGUUACUUAUAAAUUUUGGUUACAAGGGUGCGUAGACAAUAAAUGGGAGUUUUCGCCCCUCUUAUAUUUAGAAUUAUGCGUAAAGUGAUAUUACUCAUGAACCAUACAUAAUACAGACCUAGGGUCUUUUGAUUUGGGAUCCUAUGUUUAUGACCUUGAAAUUGAGGUCAAGGUCAUAGGUAAAUUGGACGUUCUAGAUUUUGACCUUUGGUCGAAAUUCAUUUUUAUACAUCAUAAAGCCAUAGGAACUGACAUUUUCAACUGAAUCUUUAUAUUUUCAUAUCAAAAUACAUCCUUAUUGGUUGAAAGACCUUCAAUUGUUCUUUGAACAAUUGGUUUUUAAUUAUUAUUAUUUUUUUUUUUUUCUUCCGCCAACUUUUUUUUCCUUCGCUGUUUUUUUGUUUCACAAGAUGUCGCUUAGAUAUAAGGUAAAUGAUAUCGAACAGUUAAUACGCUUCUGAAACUGACACCGCGUAACAAAAAACUUUACCUUGUAAGAGUUAUCUCCCCGAACACUGUUUUUCUUGUGGCCACUACUCCUUCGCAACCGUAUAAGAAACCGACAAAUUUAUUUUUCCAAAUUGCUCGUUAUAUCCUUAGGAUGUUCUGUUUCAUUUCAACCGAAGCUAUCCGGAGACUCCAUAUGAGAGUUAUCCCCCUUUUAUAUAUGAUAUCAGUGAUAUGCAUUUUAAACUGGUAAACUAUAAGUGAUAGAGACCUAGGGUCUUUUGAUUUAAGAUCCUUGGUCCAAAAAAAUGAAAAUUAGGUCAAGGUCAAAGGUCAAGGUCAAAUUCUAAAUUUUGAUUUUGGCUUAUUUUCACCUUUUUUCAUUAACCUUAUAAGAUAUCGACAAUUUUUUUUUACUAAAUUGUUAGUUGCGACAUGUCGUAACUUAUAAAUUUUGGUUGCAAGGGUGCGUAAACAAUAAAAGGGAGUUUUCGCCCCUCUUAUAUUAAGAAUUAUGCGUAAAGUGAUUUUACUCAUGAACCAUACAUAUUAAGGAACUAGUGUCUUUUUAUUUGAGAUGUUUAGUCUAUGACCUUGAAAUUGAGGUCAAGGUCAUAGGUUAAUUGGACGUUCUAGAUUUUGACCUUUGCUUAAAAUUCAUAUGUAUACAUCAUUAAGCCAUAGGAACUGACAUUUUCAACUGAUUCUUUAUAUUUUCAUAUCAAAAUACAUCCUUAUUGGUUGAAAGACCUUCAAUUGUUCUUUGAACAAUUGGUUUUUAAUUAUU
RNAcentral lists this long non-coding RNA (2882 nucleotides) under Mytilus galloprovincialis (Mediterranean mussel). The record is from RNAcentral. Lineage: Eukaryota; Metazoa; Mollusca; Bivalvia; Mytilida; Mytilidae.